GCUGGGUGCGGUGGCGUGUGCCUGUAGUCCCAGCUACUCGCGAGGCUGAGGUGGGAGGAUCGCUUGACCCCAGGAGUUCUGGGCUGUAGUGCGCUAUGCAGAUAGGGUGUCCGCACUAAGUUUGGCAUCAAUAUGGUGACCUCCCAGGAGCGGAGGGACCACCAAGUUGCCUAAGGAGGGGUGAACAGGCCCAGGUCGGAAGCAGAACAGGUCAAAACUCCCGUGCUGAUCAGUAGUGGGGAUCAUGCCUGUGAAUAGCCACUGCACUCCAGCUUGGGCAACAUGGUGAGACCCCUCUCU
Molecule: signal recognition particle RNA, 300 nt
Filed under: Saimiri boliviensis boliviensis (Bolivian squirrel monkey)
Lineage: Eukaryota; Metazoa; Chordata; Mammalia; Primates; Cebidae
Description: Metazoan signal recognition particle RNA (ENSSBOG00000005040.1)
Rfam family: Metazoan signal recognition particle RNA
About the family: The signal recognition particle (SRP) is a universally conserved ribonucleoprotein. It is involved in the co-translational targeting of proteins to membranes.
Source: RNAcentral